UUGAAUUUUUUGUGCAAAUCUGAAAAGCAAGAGACAAAAAUGGGUAGAAACAAAAAGGUGGAUAAAAAUGUGUAAUCAGCUUACCUUCUUUAACAAAAAAAAA
Long non-coding RNA from Ipomoea nil (Japanese morning glory), 103 nucleotides. RefSeq lists it as uncharacterized. The transcript has 2 exons. The record is from RefSeq and is a predicted model, not a curated record. NCBI's taxonomy places the organism in Eukaryota, Viridiplantae, Streptophyta, Magnoliopsida, Solanales, Convolvulaceae.